Molecule: ribosomal RNA, 497 nt
Filed under: uncultured bacterium
Lineage: Bacteria
Description: partial 16S ribosomal RNA
Rfam family: Bacterial small subunit ribosomal RNA
Source: RNAcentral
GAUGAACGCUGGCGGCGUGCCUAAUACAUGCGAGUCGAGCGAACGGACGAGAAGCUUGCUUCUCUGAUGUUAGCGGCGGACGGGUGAGUAACACGUGGAUAACCUACCUAUAAGACUGGGAUAACUUCGGGAAACCGGAGCUAAUACCGGAUAAUAUUUUGAACCGCAUGGUUCAAAAGUGAAGGACGGUCUUGCUGUCACUUAUAGAUGGAUCCGCGCUGCAUUAGCUAGUUGGUAAGGUAACGGCUUACCAAGGCAACGAUGCAUAGCCGACCUGAGAGGGUGAUCGGCCACACUGGAACUGAGACACGGUCCAGACUCCUACGGGAGGCAGCGGUAGGGAAUCUUCCGCAAUGGGCGAAAGCCUGACGGAGCAACGCCGCGUGAGUGAUGAAGGUCUUCGGAUCGUAAAACUCUGUUAUUAGGGAAGAACAUAUGUGUAAGUAACUGUGCACAUCUUGACGGUACCUAAUCAGAAAGCCACGGCUAACUACGUG